AACCGCAUGCAUACAAAAAGUCGGAGCCCGCAAGGGUGACGGCGUACCUUUUGUAUAAUGGGUCAGCGACUUACAUUCAGUGGCAAGCUUAACCGAAUAGGGGAGGCGCAGGGAAACCGAGUCCGAAUAGGGCGUUCAGUCGCUGGGUGUAGACCCGAAACCAGGUGAUCUAUCCAUGGCCAGGAUGAAGGUGAGGUAACACUUACUGGAGGUCCGAACCGACUGGUGUUGCAAAACCAGCGGAUGAGCUGUGGAUAGGGGUGAAAGGCUAAACAAACCUGGAGAUAGCUGGUUCUCUCCGAAAACUAUUUAGGUAGUGCCUCAAGUAUUACCGACGGGGGUAGAGCACUGUUAUGGCUAGGGGGUCAUGGCGACUUACCAAACCAUUGCAAACUCCGAAUACCGUUGAGUACAGCUUGGGAGACAGUGCACCGGGUGCUAACGUCCGGACACAAGAGGGAAACAACCCAGACCGCCAGCUAAGGUCCCUAAUAUUGGCUAAGUGGGAAACGAAGUGGGAAGGCUAAAACAGUCAGGAUGUUGGCUUAGAAGCAGCCAUCAUUUAAAGAAAGCGUAAUAGCUCACUGAUCGAGUCGUCCUGCGCGGAAGAUGUAACGGGGCUAAGCCAGUCACCGAAGCUGCGGAUAUGCGUAAGCAUAUGGUAGGAGAGCGUUCUGUAAGCCUGUGAAGGUGUCUGGUAACGGAUGCUGGAGGUAUCAGAAGUGCGAAUGCUGACAUGAGUAGCGUUAAAGGGGGUGAAAAGCCCCCUCGCCGUAAGCGCAAGGUUUCCUACGCAACGUUCAUCGGCGUAGGGUGAGUCGGCCCCUAAGGCGAGGCAGAGAUGCGUAGCUGAUGGGAAACAGGUCAAUAUUCCUGUACCGAUGUGUAGUGCGAUGUGGGGACGGAGAAGGUUAGCUCAGCCGGGUGUUGGAUGUCCCGGUUCAAGCCUGUAGUCGUGCCUGGUAGGCAAAUCCGCCGGGCUUAGAUGAGGGGUGAUAACGAGGGUGCUUGCACCUGAAGUGAGUGAUACCCUGCUUCCAGGAAAAGCCACUAAGCUUCAGCUACACACGACCGUACCGCAAACCGACACUGGUGCGCGAGAUGAGUAUUCUAAGGCGCUUGAGAGAACUCGGGAGAAGGAACUCGGCAAAUUGGUACCGUAACUUCGGGAUAAGGUACGCCCUAGUAGCUUGACUGUGAACAACAGAAGGGUGAAUGGGUUGCAAAAAAUGGUGGCUGCGACUGUUUAAUAAAAACACAGCACUCUGCAAACACGAAAGUGGACGUAUAGGGUGUGACGCCUGCCCGGUGCUGGAAGAUUAAAUGAUGGGGUGCAAGCUCUUGAUUGAAGUCCCAGUAAACGGCGGCCGUAACUAUAACGGUCCUAAGGUAGCGAAAUUCCUUGUCGGGUAAGUUCCGACCUGCACGAAUGGCGUAACGAUGGCCACACUGUCUCCUCCUGAGACUCAGCGAAGUUGAAAUGUUUGUGAUGAUGCAAUCUCCCCGCAGCUAGACGGAAAGACCCCAUGAACCUUUACUGUAGCUUUGCAUUGGACUUUGAACCAAUCUGUGUAGGAUAGGUGGGAGGCUUUGAAGCGGGGACGCUAGUUCUCGUGGAGCCGUCCUUGAAAUACCACCCUGGUUUGUUUGAGGUUCUAACCUUGGCCCGUUAUCCGGGUCGGGGACAGUGCAUGGUAGGCAGUUUGACUGGGGCGGUCUCCUCCCAAAGUGUAACGGAGGAGUUCGAAGGUACGCUAGGUACGGUCGGACAUCGUGCUAAUAGUGCAAUGGCAUAAGCGUGCUUAACUGCGAGACUGACAAGUCGAGCAGAUGCGAAAGCAGGACAUAGUGAUCCGGUGGUUCUGUAUGGAAGGGCCAUCGCUCAACGGAUAAAAGGUACUCCGGGGAUAACAGGCUGAUACCGCCCAAGAGUUCAUAUCGACGGCGGUGUUUGGCACCUCGAUGUCGGCUCAUCUCAUCCUGGGGCUGUAGCCGGUCCCAAGGGUAUGGCUGUUCGCCAUUUAAAGUGGUACGUGAGCUGGGUUUAAAACGUCGUGAGACAGUUUGGUCCCUAUCUGCCGUGGGCGUUGGAAGUUUGAGGGGGGCUGCUCCUAGUACGAGAGGACCGGAGUGGACGAACCUCUGGUGUACCGGUUGUCACGCCAGUGGCAUCGCCGGGUAGCUAAGUUCGGAAGAGAUAACCGCUGAAAGGCUUAUCGUGACUGGGAAAC
Molecule: ribosomal RNA, 2231 nt
Filed under: freshwater metagenome
Description: bacterial LSU rRNA
Rfam family: Bacterial large subunit ribosomal RNA
Source: RNAcentral